GACCAAGGAAGAUCCUGCUGACUCUGAUAAAACUCCAAUAAAUCUGGAUCCAAUUGCUGUAGUGUCUCCCUGGAGAUCCAUGCACAGUCAUAAUCUGGUUGACCAACCCAACGAACAAGGAAACGCUGAACCUCUCCAUCAUUAGUGAACACAGUUUCUUCAUCUAAAAUAGCAUCAAUUUUUUCUUUGUGUGCUGUGA
RNAcentral lists this long non-coding RNA (199 nucleotides) under Olea europaea (common olive). RNAcentral describes it as "long non-coding RNA (OEUR_LNC014171)". The record is from RNAcentral. Lineage: Eukaryota; Viridiplantae; Streptophyta; Magnoliopsida; Lamiales; Oleaceae.